Long non-coding RNA from Homo sapiens (human), 630 nucleotides. Ensembl annotates it as TNR intronic transcript 1. Its record names the gene TNR-IT1. NCBI's taxonomy places the organism in Eukaryota, Metazoa, Chordata, Mammalia, Primates, Hominidae. The record is from Ensembl.
GGCAAAGAUCAUGGGGACCAUUUCUGAGUUUGUCUAUCCAAGGAAGGGGACUGUGCUGAGGACACCGGAGUAUUAGUGCCUCCCUGGGUACCAUGAGAGGGGGCAACAGAGGAGUCAGACACACAUGCACAAAUACAGAAAAGCACAGCUGAGACUGAGAAGGAGCAAGAGGAGGAGAGUCAGGGAGGCUGAGAGGCUAAACAACCAAGAAAGCAGAGUUCAGAGAAGUUGACUGCACUGUGAAAAGCUGAGUGUGAUUUUAUUUGGGAGCAUGCCUCUGGUGUUUUUCAAGGCUAUAUUUUCAUAUUCAUCAGGCCCUCACCGACUGGGGAGACCAGAAUGAAAAAGUCAUUAUGUGUGUCUUCAAGGAUCUCACAAUAUCAGUUCAAACAUAAAUGUAAGAGGGUGAAAGUGUUGAAAGCAUGGUUUUCUCUUCCCCCAUGAGGAUGGCCUUGUCCUGAAAAUCCACCACUUGGGAAUUGGCCAGCUCUGACUAGGUUGAGAUCUCAGGGUCUGAGGAGGCUGUCAAGCCUCUGCCUCAAGUUCUUGAGCAUAAUCCCAACAUCUGGGACAUUAGCAACCUUCCUGUAUGCCAAGAAAGUAGCUGGAUUAGCCAGAGUCUGUCUUGAC